GAGCAUUAGUGCUUCUCUCCACAACCCCCUCAUAUUCUGAUCCCCAUCAAGCCCCUAAAAAUGAAGGAGAGAAACCACCUCCAAAACAUAAACCACCACAUGGUCAUCUUCUAGCUGAAAGUGUAGAAGAAUUUCAUGAACAUGCAAAAGGUAAAAGAGACAAGCCACCACCUAAACACAAACCACCACAUGGACAUCUUUUAGCUGAGGAAGUAGAUGAUUCUUUUAAACCGCCUAUGGGUAAGGGAGAAAAAUUUCCACCGGAACACAAACCACGUAAUCCUCCAUCAGAGCAUAAGCCACCGCACAAGCCUCCACAUGCGCAAAAGCCACUAAAUAGACGUCUUUUACAAGUAGAUAUUGAGGAUGCACAUAAAGAAAAGGGAGAGAAGCCACCACAUGGACAUCUUUUGGCCGAGGAAGUUAUGGAGGACUCGCCUAAGAAAAAGGGAGAGAAGCCACCACCGAAGCACAAGCCACCACAUGGACAUCUUUUGGCCGAGGAAGAGGUCGAGGACUCACACAAAGGGAAGGGAGAGAAGCCACCACCAAAGCACAAGCCACCACAUGGACAUCUUUUGGCCGAGGAAGAAGUUGAGGACUCACACAAGGGAAAGGGAGAGAAGCCACCACCAAAACACAAGCCUCCGCAUGGACAUCUUUUAGCUGAAGAAAAAGUUGAGGACUCACACAAGGGAAAAGGAGAGAAGCCACCACCAAAACACAAGCCCCCGAAUGGACAUCUUUUAGCUGAAGAAGAAGUUGAUGACUCACACAAAGGAAAGGGAGAGAAGCCACCACCAAAGCACAAGCCACCACAUGGACAUCUUUUGGCCGAGGAAGAGGUCGAGGACUCAUACAAAGGAAAGGGAGAGAAACCACCACCAAAACACAAACCUCCACAUGGACAUCUUUUAGCCGAGGAAGAAGUUGAGGACUCACACAAGGGAAAGGGAGAGAAACCACCACCAAAACACAAGCCCCCACAUGGACAUCUUUUAGCCGAGGAAGAAGUUGAUGACUCGCACAAGGGAAAGGGAGAAAAGCCACCACCAAAACACAAGCCACCUCACGGGCACUUAUUAGUUGAAGAGGUUGAAGACUCACACAAGGGGAAAGGAGAAAAACCACCGCCAAAGCACAAACCACCUCAUGGACACCUUUUAGCUGAAGAGGCCAACGACUCUCACAAAGGAAAGGGAGAGAAGCCACCAUGCAAGUCUCCUCACAAACCCCCAUCAGCCAACUAAGUGCCUUACGCUAAUUUCGCUAGAUGCUUAAAAAUAAGAAACAGAAGUAGUUUACUCUUCUGUUGGUUUCUGUAUCUGCAUUUUUCACUGAAUUAGUAUUUGUACUUUGGCUUGUAUUAUAUGAGUACUACCCUCUAGUUGGCUGUUUUAUGUAGAUUAUGGUUUUAUGUUCUAGUGCUGCGCGUAUUAUUUCAGUUGACUUAACUUUUAUUUGCAAAAUAUACAGCAAGACAUGCACACAAUCCUAGUACGUAGUUUUGCCACAUGCAUAUAUUUGGUGGUAGGAUAUUGUCAACGACAACAACGUUUAAUUACUUUAACUUAAACACGUGCUGAUGAUUUUUUUUUUUGUAAAAGCCCUUUAUUAGUAAACUAGUAUUACUCUGACAUCAACAGAUAUACCAUAGGUUUUGUCUAAAACUUGAAGGUUUCUGUAGUUUAAUUUGGUAAGUAAAAUUUUUUGUGUGUAGCACAUAAUGAAUAUGUUACUUACAUGUGUAGAUUUAUAUUUUACAUUUUAUUUUAAUAUUAGAUAAUUAAUAUAUAUAUAUUUAAUUAUUUAAAUUUAUAUAUAUUACUAAUUUAUUAAUUUAGUCUAUAUAUAUAUAUGAUAUACAUUUAAGUUAAAUUAGGUAAGAAGUUAUUAAGUACUUCCAAAUUAAUAUGAAAUAAUUCUCUAAAGGAAAUGAAUCAACUCUUGGAAAAUGUCGGGAGAAAAGAUUUCAAAUUUCUGCAUGUCUCUGUUUCUGCUCAGUGGAUGUCUCUGUUUCUGCUUGCUGCCUAUGUUGCAAUAUUUAUUUGGCUUUUUAUUCCUGGUAAAUUUCUUAUUUUCCUCUUAAUUUUGACUAGGCCGGCUGAUUCGGGAGUAAGAUUUAAGUAGUUUUAUAUUUAAUGAAAAGUAGAAUUCUGAAGAAGCGAAAAUAAAUAUAAAAAGGGAUAAUUGGUGUUCUGAGUGAAUCAUUAUUAAACACAAAAUUAGUAUUACAAACAAAAUUGCAAUUAUCAAAAUGACAGUAUGCUCCACAGAUAGAUGAUUAUCUAAUCAGUACUUAUAAUUAGCCUAAAUUUAAUAGGAAUAGUACAGAAUUAAACUUUCUUUUUUAAAAAAAGGGUCAUUAAACUGAAUCAUAAGAACAGGAUAGAGAGUAUUUGUAAUCAAAGAAACAUAGAGAGAAUUCAAAGUAAUGCCCCCAGAUGAUAGCCCUGAACAAUAAAUAUUACUUAGAAAAACAAACUGCCAAGAGAAAUUAGUCAAUAAAAUUUAGAUUGAAUCACGAUAUUUAUAAACGAGUAGAUAAAUAUAUCUUUUUUAUUAAAAAAUAAUAUUGCAUAAUUCAUCUUAAUUUAUUUCAACUUUUACUCAUAAAAUGUGAUAUAUAAUAUAUUUAUAAAAUUAUUAAUAUUUUGAUAUUACUCUCUUAAUUAAUAAAUAAUUCCAUAAAAACAUCAUACACCAUAUUAUAUAAACAAUAGUUGGGACAAAUCAAAAUGAAAUGUUUAGCAUUUUUCUAGUUAAAACCUAUUCUACAAUUCAAACCAAAAAUAGCAGUCCAAGAAAGCAUAUCUUUCACUAAUAAUCCAAACAAAUCGCUAAUUCUAAACAACCACGUUUUGGUUAAAAGAUUAUUAAUUUAGUUUGUCUAAUAAUUCGAUCCUGAAUUUGCUGAGCCGCAGUAGGAUCUCGCUCGUAUAUACAAAUCCUGAAGAAGAUCACUAUAAAUUUCUGAUCCAAUAAUGAAACUUUGAAGUCCAUAAGUAGGUUUAGGAGAAAUUUAAAGGCAGAUUCAGUUUUAAUAUUAAAUUAUAAAUAAUAUCAAUUAUACAGUAAUAUAUAACAUUAUUUACUGAUUAUUACACUUAUAUCAGUUGAAUUCUAGCCAUAAAUAAUGAAUGGUAUGGAUAGUAGUACUUAAAAAGAAUAAUCUCCAUAUAUAUAUAAAUGCAUGGAAUUUAAUAACUUUCACACCUAUGAAAUUAUCCCACCUAAAACAGAAAACCUUAGUAUUAAAUUGAGAAUAAUGCAGAAAUAUAAAUAUUUGAAAUAAUUACAAAUAAUGCAGAAAUACAAGGACCGCAGGAAAACAGAGGCCACACACUCUUGGCUGGAAUGAUUUUCCUAUUUUUGCAUGCUCACCCAUUACUCUACUCUAUCGCAUUAUUAUUGUUCAAAACUUCACAACUUAACAAAUAUACUUCCAACACAUCACAUGCGUGACCCAUUAAUUAUUACAUGUGAACGUAAAAUGAGAAGUGGUGACAACAGCAGUGAUGUCACACUUUCUGAUAUUACUACAAUUCUUGGAUGACUUACCUUAAUUCCUUUCUGGUGCAUGUUGCAGUAAUUUAUUAGAAAUACAUAAGACCUUUUUUUUCUUCCUAUCUCUUUGUUUCAUUGUAGAAUAGUCCGAGACAACGAUAAUAUCUUACACUUAAUUUGUCUGUAAAUAUAUAUACACUUGACUUUACAUGCUAUAGUAUUAUUAACUAGUCACCUAGACAGAUUUGAAGUAGAUAAUAUUUAUCGAUAAAUUACUUUCUAGAUUUCUAUUUUAUGGUUACAUACAUCAAAAUUUCUGCAAAACAAGUGGAGAAUAGCCUAAUUUGGGGAUUCAAAGAAACUUUGAUGGCUUCUUUUUCUACUCGAAAUUAUACUAAAAAUAAUUCAUAAACAUGAAUGAUCCAAGGGUGGAGAGCAAGACUCUUAGCCAGUUUGUCAAAAAUUUUAACUCGAUGGGACCCAAUAGAUCUAAUUGGUUCGUAAGAGAGCCAAAUGUAUUCAACUUCACUACAUAGUGUACUAAUCUAUAGUAAAGGACAGGUGCAGUAUGACAUGGGUGGUGACGACAUAGUCCCACCGUCCACCCAUGCAAUAUUAUAAAAGGCAGAGCAAAGCUUCAAGUUUUGCACCAUCAACUGAACCCCAAAUAUGUCUUCUAAAUACUUGCUAGUGUUGUUCCUCCUCGGAGCAUUAGUGCUUCUCUUCACAACCCCCUCAUAUGCUGAUCAUCAUGAGCCCCUUAGAAAUAAAGGAGAGAAACCACCUCCAAAACAUAAACCACCACAUGUUCAUCUUCUAGCUGAAAAUAUAGAAGAUUUUCAUGGACAUGCAAAAGGUAAAAGAGACAAGCCACCACCUAAACAUAAACCACCACAUGGACAUCUUUUAGCUGAGGAAGUAGAUGAUUAUUCUACAUCUCCGGGAUGGAAACUACAUAAUCCUCCAUCAGAGCAUAAACCACCGCAUAAGCCUCC
RNAcentral lists this long non-coding RNA (4502 nucleotides) under Ricinus communis (castor bean). RNAcentral's name for it is "long non-coding RNA (RCOM_LNC002739)". The record is from RNAcentral. Lineage: Eukaryota; Viridiplantae; Streptophyta; Magnoliopsida; Malpighiales; Euphorbiaceae.